AUUUUGGUGGUCGGCGUCUAGCUGUUUGAAUUCGGCGGCGUUCGUGGUGGUGAUUGGGGUCGAGCGGUCGGUAUAACAGUCCCGCCGAGGUCGGUAAUAUCGUCCCUCACAGAUAUCCAGCUCCAUCCUUCCCCGUGUUGGUGGCUCCCCGACCCCCGCUAGUGGACGUUUAUACUACAGCGGGCUGUAAAUCCAGCCCGUACUCCAAUUUCCCACGACUCUACUUUGUGGCGUGCAUUUCUGAAAAUGCAACGUCACAAUAUACAUUCUGCUUAAAACCAACCUCUUCUACACUGCAGACAUCUUCAACAAUCAUAAGCAGCAGAAUCAAGCGAUGCUACGCACUAAUCUGCGCGAUAAGGUUCAAGGUUAGGGGAAGAAAACUUCCUACUGCAGGACUGCAUCAGCGAUGCGCAAUUCUGCGAUAUGGGGGUACGUUCAACAUCAAGCAGGCUGAGGGCUGCCGUCCGAAAACUGUGCGGGGGGUCCGUCGAAGCUUCCAGAAGACUCUCCGGGGUGGGUGGCAAGGGACUGUCUCAAAACGUCCCGCGAUGGAUCAUCGGCUCUGGGAGCGACCCUCCACGACUUAGCACGGACACGAACCGUCGAAGCUUCUAGAACGUUCUAGAAUGUUCUAGAAGGUUCUCGAUGGUGUAUAAUUCCUAGAAUCUAGCGCGAAAUCGAGAGCCGACAAAUUUCUUGGAAUCGAUGCUGCUAUUGCAUCCUCGACACGCAAUUCUGCGAGAUAACGUUCAAGGUCAAAUCAG
Long non-coding RNA from Cephus cinctus (wheat stem sawfly), 767 nucleotides. RefSeq lists it as uncharacterized. Lineage: Eukaryota; Metazoa; Arthropoda; Insecta; Hymenoptera; Cephidae. The record is from RefSeq and is a predicted model, not a curated record. The transcript has 3 exons.